This 480-nucleotide ribosomal RNA is filed under the name Blastocystis sp. subtype 31. Its description in RNAcentral is "SSU rRNA". It matches the Rfam family "Eukaryotic small subunit ribosomal RNA", at positions 460 to 953 of the family's 1831-position model. Lineage: Eukaryota; Bigyra; Opalinata; Blastocystidae. The record is from RNAcentral.
GGAGGUAGUGACAAUAAAUCACAAUGCGGGACUUUUUAGUUUUGCAAUUGGAUUGAGAACAAUGUACAAGAGUUAUCGAUAAACAAUUGGAGGGCAAGUCUGGUGCCAGCAGCCGCGGUAAUUCCAGCUCCAAUAGCGUAUAUUAACGUUGUUGCAGUUAAAAAGCUCGUAGUUGAAGUGUGGGGUGAGCGUUGAUAUGCUUCUAUGAAGUGUGUGUUCGCGAGCCCCCUCUCCAAUUUGCUAGUAUGGGUAUUAAGUUAUUUGUACUAGUUGUUGGUCAUUUACUGUGAGAAAAUUAGAGUGUUCAAAGCAGGCAUUUGCUUGAAUAUAUUAGCAUGGAAUAAUAAUAAGAGGCUUUUGUGGUCGAUUUAAUUGGUUUGUUCAUGAAAGCAAGAUUAAAAGGGACAGUUGGGGGUAUUCAUAUUCAAUAGUUAGAGGUGAAAUUCUCGGAUUUAUGGAAGAUGAACAAGUGCGAAAGCA